GGGAGCGGAUCGUCGCUCGGAGAGGGGCUCUGCGCGGACAGCUCCACGACACUUCGCGCGGAGGCCGCUGCCUUCAAGCUGGCAGAGCAGGGAAGAGCGGCCAGGUGGCCCGGGGCCCCGUGGGGUCAGCCCCGCGGAGGAGGUGACGGGCGCCCACCGAGAGGACGUGGCGGUGCUCCGAAGAGCCCGAAUCGGGUGCACGGUAGCGGGAAGGGGCCGAUCCCCCUGCCGGUGGCUGGGCCAAGCCACCGACUUCCUCCAAGGGAGCGGGACUGGCCGUGGGAUUCAGGGAGACGGAGGGGAGGAGCGGAGCUGGAGCACUGGUGAGGCCCCGGCCGGGGCCCAACUCUGAGCCGCUGAGCGGCCACCGCAGCCCGGCCCCCGCCCCGGCCCGCCUGCCCGCCGCGGUAUUUUCCUCCCAGAUGGAGAGGCUGCAACGCCGUCCAGAGCUGGGCAAGCUCGCGGCAGCUGGACCCCAGGCAGGAGCCAGCUCCAAGGCCGCCUGGGACUGGGGCUUAGGGGGCUGGGCCCCCUUUCGGGGUCAGCAUUGCGGGGUUUUAUUGCCCUUCCUCCUUUAUAGGGAGGUAGGGACGGUGGAGACAUCUUGCUCAGUGGCAGAAUGCCAUCUUAGAGGCUUAAGAGCUGCACGCACGAUUUUAGAGGCAUUACCGAAAAAAAUUUGGUUUUACAGCUCUUAUUUCCUUAUUAGGACUUUCCUUCUUUCUCAACUUUUCCGAGAAAUCCUAAGAGGAGAGAGGCACAGCUUGGCCUAGGGGCCAGUUAAUUCUUCCAGCUUCCACUGCCUCAGUCGGAGAGGUCAGCCUUCUGCUGUGGAAGUAGAGAGAGCUUCUUAACCCGUCACUCGUCGGAGGGAUGUGUGGUACCUGCUUCAGACCAGGGCCAGCUGCCCCAGGCUUGGUUCACACCCUGCACUGCCCCUCACCGGAUGUGUGAUCUUAGGCUACUUCCAGAAUCCCUAAGCUUACUAUAAGCUCGGUGCCUCAGUUUCUUGCCCUGUGGAAAUGGGCUUUAAGACUAGCUGUCUCGAAAUGUUGCUGUGAUGAGUAAAUGAAUUCAGACAUGUUCAAUCCUAAAAACUGUACAGAGCCUACAGUAAGUGCUCAAGAAAAGUGAGUUGUGCCAAUGGCAGACUCCUCUAGCACCAGGUUCCUGCCCACAGCUAGGGGAGGCCUGUCCCAGAGGGUGAGGUGGCCGUGUUGGAAAUUCCCCUGGGACUUGGGGGGAGCAAAGGAAAGCUAUUCAGAGAAGUAGAAGAGAUAACAAUGAAAAGGGGCAGGGGAGAGAGUGAGACAGUUCACUACUAGGAGGGGAGCAGAGAUGUGCAACGGGCAAGAGUCGGGGGAGAGGGGCGGGGGAGCCAAAACAAAAAGCAUGUGGAUCUGCAAGAAUUCUUCAAGGAGCCCUGCCAGUCUGCACCAGGGACCUGCCGCCUGUCUUAAGUUUCCCACCCUCCAAGGGGGUAGAGGUGAACCUUUUGGCCUGCCUGAAAGCAUCUUGUGCACUUUGCUCUUUCUGAUACGUGAAUCAGGAUGUUUACCACACUUGCCGUUCCCCAGAAUCCUCUAGUGUGUGGAAUGAGGGGAGCAGAGAGGGUUCCUGGGAGCAUCAACUACUACUCUCCCUGCAGAAGCAUCUUCCAGACAAGGGAACCUUCUGACAUAGACCUCUCAGACUCAGCACCAUGGGGGGUGGCUCAGAGCAUCAUCUGGGUCCAAAUUAUCAUCCAAAAUACAAGAGUGGUCAUCUUGCUGUCCUCACAGGGACAACUGCCUGCAGUGCCCUGUUGAUUUUCGUGAUUAUAUAGUUGGUGGCCUUUGCCUUCUGAUUUGACUCAGCUAGCUGUGGACAGGGAAUGCGUUGGGUUUUGCUCCCUGCUGACCAUAGCACCCAUCUCAUGCCAGUCACAUGCUAAAUUCUCAAUAAAGAGUUCCUGGAUGAGUUAAUUUUAAAAA
This is a non-coding RNA of Vicugna pacos (alpaca), 1973 nucleotides long. Lineage: Eukaryota; Metazoa; Chordata; Mammalia; Artiodactyla; Camelidae. The record is from RefSeq and is a predicted model, not a curated record.